AUUCCAUGAUGGGGACAUAAUAGGAUGUAGUCUUGAAAGCGCUCCCAUGCUUCUGGAACAGAUUCAUCAUUUUGUUGCUGAAAACUUGUAAUCUUCCCACGGAGAGC
Sorghum bicolor (sorghum) is the source of this 107-nucleotide small nucleolar RNA. It matches the Rfam family "Plant small nucleolar RNA R71". Rfam says of the family: R71 is a member of the C/D box family of snoRNAs containing the C (UGAUGA) and D (CUGA) box motifs. Multiple nearly identical copies of this snoRNA have been identified in Arabidopsis, and it is thought to function as a 2'-O-ribose methylation guide for 18S ribosomal RNA. The record is from Rfam. NCBI's taxonomy places the organism in Eukaryota, Viridiplantae, Streptophyta, Magnoliopsida, Poales, Poaceae.